UACGUAGGGUGCGAGCGUUAAUCGGAAUUACUGGGCGUAAAGCGUGCGCAGGCUGUUUUGUAAGUCAGAUGUGAAAUCCCUGGGCUCAACCUAGGAACUGCGUUUGAAACUACAAGGCUAGAGUGUAGCAGGGGGGGGUAGAAUUCCACGUGUAGCAGUGAAAUGCGUAGAGAUGUGGAGGAAUACCAAUGGCGAAGGCAGCCCCCUGGGUUAACACUGACGCUCAUGCACGAAAGCGUGGGGAGCAAACAGG
This 253-nucleotide ribosomal RNA is filed under the name uncultured bacterium. Its description in RNAcentral is "partial 16S ribosomal RNA". It matches the Rfam family "Bacterial small subunit ribosomal RNA", at positions 524 to 776 of the family's 1533-position model. The record is from RNAcentral.